Molecule: non-coding RNA, 73 nt
Organism: Podarcis lilfordi (Lilford's wall lizard)
Lineage: Eukaryota; Metazoa; Chordata; Lepidosauria; Squamata; Lacertidae
Source: the annotation of a GenBank genome assembly
UUUUUAGGUCAGUCAGUAGAGCAUGAGACUUUUAAUCUCAGGGUCGUGUGUUUGAGACCCACGUUGGGCAAAA